GCCGGGCAUGCUGGUCCAUGCCUGUGAUCCCAGCUACUUGGGAGGCUGAGGCAGGGGAAUUGCUUGAGCCCAGGAGAUGGGGGUUGCAGUGAGCCGAGAUCACGCCAUUGCACUCCAGCCUGGCCAACAGAGCGAGACUCUGUCUCAA
RNAcentral lists this small RNA (148 nucleotides) under Papio anubis (olive baboon). Its description in RNAcentral is "Metazoan signal recognition particle RNA (ENSPANG00000041967.1)". The record is from Rfam by way of RNAcentral. Lineage: Eukaryota; Metazoa; Chordata; Mammalia; Primates; Cercopithecidae.